Molecule: unclassified non-coding RNA, 236 nt
Filed under: Scytalidium sp.
Lineage: Eukaryota; Fungi; Ascomycota; Leotiomycetes
Description: partial contains 5.8S ribosomal RNA, internal transcribed spacer 2, and large subunit ribosomal RNA
Source: RNAcentral
AACGCACAUUGCGCCCCUUGGUAUUCCGGGGGGCAUGCCCGUUCGAGCGUCAUUACACCACUCAAGCCUGGCUUGGUGUUGGGCCCCGGGGGUGACCCGGGCCCCAAAGUCGUCGGCUGGAAACCCCUGAUCGCAGCGUCGUGAUUCAUCAAAUUCGCUGAGGUGACGGGGGGUCCGCGCCGUGAAACCCAUCAAAGGUUGACCUCGGAUCGGGUAGGGAUACCCGCUGAACUUAA